This 429-nucleotide ribosomal RNA is filed under the name Chloroflexota bacterium. RNAcentral describes it as "Chloroflexi bacterium partial 16S ribosomal RNA". It matches the Rfam family "Bacterial small subunit ribosomal RNA", at positions 355 to 776 of the family's 1533-position model. Lineage: Bacteria; Bacillati; Chloroflexota. The record is from RNAcentral.
UGGGGAAUAUUGCACAAUGGGCGCAAGCCUGAUGCAGCCAUGCCGCGUGUAUGAAGAAGGCCUUCGGGUUGUAAAGUACUUUCAGUCGGGAGGAAGGUGGUAAGGUUAAUACCUUUGCUCAUUGACGUUACCGACAGAAGAAGCACCGGCUAACUCCGUGCCAGCAGCCGCGGUAAUACGGAGGGUGCAAGCGUUAAUCGGAAUUACUGGGCGUAAAGCGCACGCAGGCGGUUGAUUGAGUCAGAUGUGAAAUCCCCGGGCUUAACCCGGGAAUUGCAUCUGAUACUGGUCAGCUAGAGGCUUGUAGAGGGGGGUAGAAUUCCAUGUGUAGCGGUGAAAUGCGUAGAGAUGUGGAGGAAUACCGGUGGCGAAGGCGGCCCCCUGGACAAAGACUGACGCUCAGGUGCUAAAGCGUGGGGAGCAAACAGG